This 482-nucleotide ribosomal RNA is filed under the name uncultured bacterium. RNAcentral's name for it is "partial 16S ribosomal RNA". It matches the Rfam family "Bacterial small subunit ribosomal RNA", at positions 28 to 507 of the family's 1533-position model. The record is from RNAcentral.
GAUGAACGCUAGCGGCAGGCCUAAUACAUGCAAGUCGGACGGGAUUCAGGAGCUUGCUUCUGAUGAGAGUGGCGCACGGGUGCGUAACACGUAUGUAACCUACCUUUAUCAGGGGGAUAGCCUCUCGAAAGAGAGAUUAAGCCCGCAUAAAAUCACAGCACAGCAUUGUGUAAUGAUCAAAUAUUUAUAGGAUAAAGAUGGGUAUGCGGAACAUUAGCUAGAUGGCGGGGUAACGGCCCACCAUGGCGACGAUGUUUAGGGGAGCUGAGAGGACGGCCCCCCACACUGGUACUGAGACACGGACCAGACUCCUACGGGAGGCAGCAGUAAGGAAUAUUGGUCAAUGGGCGGAAGCCUGAACCAGCCAUGCCGCGUGCAGGAAGACGGCCCUACGGGUUGUAAACUGCUUUUAUACGGGAAUAAACCCAGAUACGUGUAUCUGGCUGAAUGUACUGUAAGAAUAAGGAUCGGCUAACUCCGUG